CACUGUGCGUCUAGGUACCUUCCGUAAUUGGUAAUCAGUGGCCCGUGACGCAUGGCGGGGUGCGCACGCUCAUUAGGUUCGGAGAUAUUGCAGUUUGGGGUCGCCCGCGACCCGUGUUGUCAAAAAUUUGCCCCAAUCUCUUAAAGUGAUAAUGCUUCAUGUUUUGGGAGUAGAUGAAGAAAACAGUGCUCAGGUAGCCCAAACUCGAUCAACUUCAAGUUCCCGCUGCUAUUUAUGCACUAGAGCCAAAGAUAGGAAGGGCAGAGAGAAAUGUGUUAAGUGCUCCAAAAAUAUAUGUGCACAACACAGGUUACCUAUUUGUCACCAAUGUAUCUAGAUUUUCAGAUUUGUACUAAAUUUUUUUCCCUUAAGCAUUCCAUUAAUAUCCAACAAACCUUGUAAUAAUUGUUUAAAUUUAUUAAAGUUUAAUAUUUUGUAAGUAA
This is a long non-coding RNA of Aricia agestis (brown argus), 443 nucleotides long. RefSeq lists it as uncharacterized. The record is from RefSeq and is a predicted model, not a curated record. NCBI's taxonomy places the organism in Eukaryota, Metazoa, Arthropoda, Insecta, Lepidoptera, Lycaenidae. The transcript has 2 exons.